ACCAGCAGCCAUAUCACCCUGCAACUCACAACUGGCAACCCACUGAAGCUAAGCAGGUGUGAGCCUGGUCAGUACCUGGAUGGAGACCUCCUGGGAAAACCUAAGGUUGCUGCUAGAA
Molecule: ribosomal RNA, 118 nt
Organism: Lepisosteus oculatus (spotted gar)
Lineage: Eukaryota; Metazoa; Chordata; Actinopteri; Semionotiformes; Lepisosteidae
Source: Ensembl